This 1466-nucleotide long non-coding RNA is filed under the name Homo sapiens (human). RNAcentral describes it as "growth arrest specific 5". The stretch from base 1103 to 1179 matches the Rfam family "Small nucleolar RNA SNORD47". Lineage: Eukaryota; Metazoa; Chordata; Mammalia; Primates; Hominidae. The record is from RNAcentral.
CUUUUCGAGGUAGGAGUCGACUCCUGUGAGGUAUGGUGCUGGGUGCAGAUGCAGUGUGGCUCUGGAUAGCACCUUAUGGACAGUUGUGUCCCCAAGGAAGGAUGAGAAUAGCUACUGAAGUCCUAAAGAGCAAGCCUAACUCAAGCCAUUGGCACACAGGCAUUAGACAGAAAGCUGGAAGUUGAAAUGGUGGAGUCCAACUUGCCUGGACCAGCUUAAUGGUUCUGCUCCUGGUAACGUUUUUAUCCAUGGAUGACUUGCUUGGGUAUGGAGAGUCGGCUUGACUACACUGUGUGGAGCAAGUUUUAAAGAAGCAAAGGUAUAGCAGUUCCAAGUAUUUUUUUUUUUUUUUUAGACAAGAGUCUAGCUCUUGCCCAGAAUGGAGUGCAGCGGCACUAUCAGUUCACUGCAACCUCUGCCUCCCAGGUUCAAGGAAUUCUCCUGCCUCAGCCUCUUGAGUAGCUGGGAUUACAGGCAUGUGACACCAUGCCUGGCUAAUUUUGUACAGCUAUGUUGUCCAGGCUGGUCUCGAACUCUUGACCUCAAGUGAUACUGCCCGCACUGACCUCCCAAAGUGCUGGGAUUACAGGCGUGAGCCACCAUGCCCCGCCUCAAGUCUGGUUUUUAAGUGUUGUAAAGCCGAUACAAUGAUGAUAACAUAGUUCAGCAGACUAACGCUGAUGAGCAAUAUUAAGUCUUUCGCUCCUAUCUGAUGUAUCUGGCGGUAACAUUCUAGUUUAUGCCCCGAAAAGGGGAAUAUAGCCAUUCUAUAAUGUUUGGAGAUUUUGGAUUACUCCUAAUUGUAUGCAAGUUGUCUUACUGUGUAUUGUCCCUUAAUUUCAGGACUCAGAAUUCAUGAUUGAAGAAAUGCAGGUUAGUUUAAACUUUGAAGGAAAUUUUUAAGGUGGCAAAAGGUUUUGGUGGCAUAUACACCUUAAUCUGUAGAUGGGAGUGAUUAGCUGUUUAAAAGUUAAAAUGUGACUGAGAAGGAAAUUGAGUAGGGCAAAUUUUAAAUGGGUAUUAUUUUUCAUCUUCAAACAGGCAGACCUGUUAUCCUAAACUAGGUGAGUCAGCUUUUGGUACAUGUGAUGAUUUUCAGUGUAACCAAUGAUGUAAUGAUUCUGCCAAAUGAAAUAUAAUGAUAUCACUGUAAAACCGUUCCAUUUUGAUUCUGAGGUUACUCUACUAACAAGCAUCACACAUUUGUAUUUUGCCCUGAUUAAUAUGUUGGCUUCGCUUUCAGGGUUUUUAAUGACCACAACAAGCAAGCAUGCAGCUUACUGCUUGAAAGGGUCUUGCCUCACCCAAGCUAGAGUGCAGUGGCCUUUGAAGCUUACUACAGCCUCAAACUUCUGGGCUCAAGUGAUCCUCAGCCUCCCAGUGGUCUUUGUAGACUGCCUGAUGGAGUCUCAUGGCACAAGAAGAUUAAAACAGUGUCUCCAAUUUUAAUAAAUUUUUGCAAUCCA